UUCAUUGGUCAUAUAAGCUGUUUUGGGAGCUAUAUUUUGCUAGUCUUGCAUAGAGUAAUAGUAUCUGUGGGUCUGGAUGUGCGUUUGCCAUUUGAGCAGAAGACUAACAGCAAACAAGUUAUGUAUCAGUCUGAGAGUUUUUUGAACUCACCCUUUGUACAGACCUAGCUUGCUGGUCUUGCUGGUGCUAAUAGAAGUCUUUUCUGAUAGGUAAGCAGACUUCCCAGAUAUGUGUUUGACUAUGAAGUGAGGAUUUAGGACAGUCUGUAUCUUCCUUGUGUGCAUCUGUCUUUCGUGGCAGGAGCUGCCAUUGCAAUGGUCUCCAGCAGGCAGUGUCACCCGGUCACACAGAGGAACUCUUGGAGAAGGAGCACUGCGAGACGCGAACCUCUCCCAAUUUAUGAUCUGCUCUUACGUUAACUAACGGAGAAACGAGUGGGAAGUCUAUGACUUAAUGACAAAACAGAACAGUGUUUUACACCUGUUUAAAGACGGAAGAUCAGUGGUGGGCCUCAGUUACAGAUGGCUCAGGAUUGACUGGGGACUAACAGCAGUCUUGGAGUGACAGAAACUAUGUACCCAAUGGAUGGCUUCUCGGAUCUUCAGCUUCUAAGAGGAAAAAAAGACGUCUUCCUGACGGUCGUGUGUCUUCUGGCCUGGGUGUACAACUGGGUGUACCACGUGUAAACUUGCCUUCUGCUGGUCAAGCCUUUCAAACUUUAUUCAAAUAAAACUCUUGGGUGCUCUGUUGAGAUCA
RNAcentral lists this long non-coding RNA (757 nucleotides) under Struthio camelus australis. RNAcentral describes it as "lncRNA (ENSSCUG00000019026.1)". Lineage: Eukaryota; Metazoa; Chordata; Aves; Struthioniformes; Struthionidae. The record is from RNAcentral.